AUGGCCGCACUGCCGAGGUUAGGAGAAGCAAAGGGCUCGGGCGUGAGGAAUGCUACAGGAACACGCUGCUCCCCAGCUCCCACGCUGCUGUCAUUGUUCUGCCCCCAGCAACAGCUCCACAGAGCUGAAAACUACAGCACCAGCCACACUGCGAGGCAAAAAAUGUGGAUUCAAAGGGCCCCCAGUGAAGAAAAGGCUCACUCGCUACUUGCAACCCCAGAAACUAUUAAAGAAACUGCAGGUCUUGUUUCGUGUAGAUGAAAGGCAGAUGGGAAGACAAAUGCUCAGAAAACUACCGUGAUUUGGACGUGCUCAGGUGUGGAAACACAAAACUAUCUUGCAAGAUCUGAUCUAUACUUUACCAAAAAGCAUGAGCAGGAACUUACAGGCUAUGGAAAAUAUAGAUAUAUAUAAUCCAAGCACCUUAGGUAAGUUUUGAAACUAGAGUAUAACAUUUCUUCUGUCUCCAUUUGACUCAUUUUUCUGGAUGUACCAAAGGUUUAACAUGAAAGUGGGAGCAAUAGCACUCAGUGGUGCCGUGCAGAAAAGGCAAACGCAGCGUGAUCCAUUUCAGAAACAAAGAGAAAAACUGUAAAGCCACUGUGCAGAGCAUCAGAGAAAUAUGAUCUGGAGUACCACGUUCCAUCUUACAUGCUAAUGCUCAGAUCAUAUCAGACUGGGUGAGCUUCACAAAUGGAUCAUUAGUAGCUUAUUUCUGCAUAAAACAUUCAAUGAGGGCCACAAUUUAAAACUUCACAUCGACCAGAAGGAAUCUGUGACAAAGAUUCUCAAGACACAUGGGAUGGAAAUCAACAGUGCUGGAAUCAGCCAUCAUACUGAAAACUGAACUUUGUAAGGGAGAGAAAUGCAGUACGUUUUAAUGCAGCUUCACAGCUUUUGGCAGUUACAUCUCCAGCUAAGAAGUUUGUACGUUAUUUUAUCAAUUAUUAACAUGGAACAUCAGCAAUCCUCUUUGGGAGUGAUUUCUGGGCUUUUAUUUCAAAUGGCCUGACUGAUAUCAGCACUUGGCAUUUUCUUGCCUCAGGGCUCAUAAAAUGUCUUUCAACUAUUUCAUCAUAAACUUCUCACUGAUAAUAAAUCUCUAUUUCUGUGUCUACCA
RNAcentral lists this long non-coding RNA (1120 nucleotides) under Numida meleagris (helmeted guineafowl). RNAcentral's name for it is "lncRNA (ENSNMEG00000006657.1)". Lineage: Eukaryota; Metazoa; Chordata; Aves; Galliformes; Numididae. The record is from RNAcentral.